RNAcentral lists this ribosomal RNA (433 nucleotides) under uncultured bacterium. RNAcentral describes it as "partial 16S ribosomal RNA". It matches the Rfam family "Bacterial small subunit ribosomal RNA", at positions 29 to 507 of the family's 1533-position model. The record is from RNAcentral.
AACGAACGCUGGCGGCAUGCCUAACACAUGCAAGUCGAACGAGACCUGCGGGUCUAGUGGCGCACGGGUGCGUAACGCGUGGGAACCUGCCCUUAGGUUCGGAAUAACGCCCCGAAAGGGGUGCUAAUACCGGAUAAUGUCUUCGGACCAAAGAUUUAUCGCCUUUGGAUGGGCCCGCGUUGGAUUAGCUAGUGGGUAGGGUAAAAGCCUACCAAGGCGACGAUCCAUAGCUGGUCUGAGAGGAUGAUCAGCCACACUGGGACUGAGACACGGCCCAGACUCCUACGGGAAGCAGCAGUGGGGAAUAUUGGACAAUGGGCGAAAGCCUGAUCCAGCAAUGCCGCGUGAGUGAUGAAGGCCUUAGGGUUGUAAAGCUCUUUUACCCGGGAUGAUAAUGACAGUACCGGGAGAAUAAGCACCGGCUAACUCCGUG